RNAcentral lists this ribosomal RNA (235 nucleotides) under uncultured bacterium. Its description in RNAcentral is "partial 16S ribosomal RNA". It matches the Rfam family "Bacterial small subunit ribosomal RNA", at positions 118 to 351 of the family's 1533-position model. The record is from RNAcentral.
UGAGGAACAUGACCUUCGGCGGGGGAUAGCCGGCCCAACGGCCGGGUAAUACCGCGUACGACCACGUGGGGACAUCCCUGAGUGGUGAAAGCAGCAAUGCGCCGAUGGAGUGCCUCGCGGCCUAUCAGCUAGUUGGUGGGGUAACGGCUCACCAAGGCAACGACGGGUAGCUGGUCUGAGAGGAUGGCCAGCCACAUUGGGACUGAGACACGGCCCAGACUCCUACGGGANACAG